This 279-nucleotide ribosomal RNA is filed under the name uncultured bacterium. RNAcentral describes it as "partial 16S ribosomal RNA". It matches the Rfam family "Bacterial small subunit ribosomal RNA", at positions 506 to 784 of the family's 1533-position model. The record is from RNAcentral.
UGCCAGCCGCCGCGGUAAUACGAAGGUGGCGAGCGUUGUUCGGAUUUACUGGGCGUAAAGGGCGCGUAGGCGGUUAGGCAAGUCGAAGGUGAAAUCCCUCGGCUCAACCGAGGAAUUGCCUCCGAUACUGUCUGACUUGAGUCCCGGAGAGGGUAGCGGAAUUCCCAGUGUAGCGGUGAAAUGCGUAGAUAUUGGGAGGAACACCAGUGGCGAAGGCGGCUACCUGGACGGGUACUGACGCUGAGGCGCGAAAGCGUGGGGAGCAAACAGGAUUAGAUA